GAUGAACGCUAGCGGCAGGCCUAACACAUGCAAGUCGAGGGGUAACUAGAGUGAUAGCAAUAUUACUUUGGCUAGACCGGCGCACGGGUGCGUAACACGUAUGCAACCUACCUUAUACUGGGGAAUAACUUCGAGAAAUCGGCGCUAAUACCCCAUAACAUUGCGAAGAGGCAUCUCUUUGCAAUUAAAGCUCCGGCGGUAUAAGAUGGGCAUGCGUCCAAUUAGCUAGUUGGUGAGGUAACGGCUCACCAAGGCUACGAUUGGUAGGGGUUCUGAGAGGAAGAUCCCCCGCACUGGUACUGAGACACGGACCAGACUCCUACGGGAGGCAGCAGUGAGGAAUAUUGCGCAAUGGACGAAAGUCUGACGCAGCCAUUCCGCGUGCAGGAUUACGGCCCUAUGGGUUGUAAACUGCUUUUGUACGGGAAUAAACCCUUCUACGUGUAGGAGGCUGAAGGUACCGUAAGAAUAAGCACCGGCUAACUCCGUGCCAGCCGCCGCCGUAA
Molecule: ribosomal RNA, 506 nt
Filed under: uncultured bacterium
Lineage: Bacteria
Description: partial 16S ribosomal RNA
Rfam family: Bacterial small subunit ribosomal RNA
Source: RNAcentral